Molecule: long non-coding RNA, 651 nt
Organism: Puntigrus tetrazona (Sumatra barb)
Lineage: Eukaryota; Metazoa; Chordata; Actinopteri; Cypriniformes; Cyprinidae
Exons: 2
Source: RefSeq, a predicted model, not a curated record
GCCCAAACCGGUCCCCGGUCUCUCGGCGCCGCGGAAACUUGAUGCAACUAAUGGAGAAACGCUGGAGCCCGAGCUAGCACUGUACCGCUCAACGCCAGCUUAAAAAGUACAACAUGAGCGUCUCAGCCCCGGAGCCUUGAGAAAGCUGACUCUGACCAACCCCCUUCUCCCUCUCUGAUCGGCCUGUGCUGGAGGUUGUCAGCCGAGUUUUAUGUCCAGUUCGCUGGAGCUGAAAGAAGUCAGCAUCAUGUCUUUUUAUGAAACAAGACGUCCUUGCCUCCCGUUCCGGGUGAGCGAUGCCUGGGGUGACUUGCGCGGAGUGAUGGCCUCGCCAUAGCGCUCCACAGAGGCAACCAACAGCGAGGAAGUCAAUGCGCCAUUGUGUAUCGAGUUCGUCAGCUACAUGUUUGGUAAUUAUCCCGACUGUUUGUCGGAGACUUGGAUCUGCGAGCCAAGCGGGCCGACAGUGGAGCACAACACCGUCAACAAAGAUUAACUUCUUCAUGAAUGGUCAACAUGUCUAGUUGAGGGAGACAAGCUCAAGACACCAUCGACUAGUGUUACUGAUCAGUUCAAAUAUGUUUUUUAAUAGUAAAACAGUUAACACAGUCCACAGUUUUUUGCCAGUGUGAAUAAAAACAUCACACAGGA